AGUGAACGCUGGCGGCGUGCCUAAUACAUGCAAGUCGAACGCGAAAGUCCUUCGGGAUGAGUAAAGUGGCGCACGGGUGAGUAAUACAUGGGAGCAUGCCCUUGGAUGGGGAAUAACAUUUGGAAACGAACGCUAAUACCGCCUAAUCUCGCGAGAGUAAAGGUGGCGCCGCAAGGGCUACCGUCCAAGGAUUGGCCCAUGUCCCAUUAGCUAGUUGGCGGGGUAAUGGCCCACCAAGGCAACGAUGGGUAACUGGUCUGAGAGGAUGAUCAGGCACACUGGAACUGAGACACGGUCCAGACUCCUACGGGAGGCAGCAGUAGGGAAUAUUGCACAAUGGGGGAAACCCUGAUGCAGCAACGCCGCGUGAGUGAAGAAGGCCCUUGGGUUGUAAAGCUCUUUAGCGUGGGAAGAAGGUAGAUACGGUGAAUAAUCGUGUUUGCUGACGGUACCACGAGAAUAAGCACCGGCUAAUUUCGUGCCAGCCGCCGCAGUAA
This 497-nucleotide ribosomal RNA is filed under the name uncultured bacterium. Its description in RNAcentral is "partial 16S ribosomal RNA". It matches the Rfam family "Bacterial small subunit ribosomal RNA", at positions 29 to 523 of the family's 1533-position model. The record is from RNAcentral.